RNAcentral lists this ribosomal RNA (518 nucleotides) under uncultured bacterium. RNAcentral's name for it is "bacterial SSU rRNA". It matches the Rfam family "Bacterial small subunit ribosomal RNA", at positions 34 to 518 of the family's 1533-position model. The record is from RNAcentral.
CGCUGGCGGCGUGCUUAACACAUGCAAGUCGACGGACCUUCAUUUGGAAGUUUCGGAUGGAAGGAUGAAGUGUAGUGGCGGACGGGUGAGUAACGCGUGGAUAAUCUGCCCUAGGUGACUGGGACAACAGCUGGAAACGGCUGCUAAUACCGGAUACGCUCCAUGGACGGCAUCGUCUGUGGAGGAAAGGAGGCCUCUGAAUAUGCUUCCGCACGAGGAUGAGUCCGCGUCUGAUUAGCUAGUGGGGGGUAACGGCCCACCAAGGCGACGAUCAGUAGCCGGCCUGAGAGGGUGACCGGCCACAUUGGGACUGAGACACGGCCCAAACUCCUACGGGAGGCAGCAGUGGGGAAUCUUCCGCAAUGGGCGAAAGCCUGACGGAGCAACGCCGCGUGAAUGAAGAAGGUCUUCGGAUCGUAAAAUUCUGUCAUAAGGGACGAAGGCCCUGUGUGUAAAUAAUGCAUGGGGAUGACGGUACCUUAGGAGGAAGCUCCGGCUAACUACGUGCCAGCCGCAGC